GUGUUUCUAUAUAUACAUGUGUGUUUCUAUAUAUACAUGUGUGUUUCUGUAUAUACAUGUGUGUUUCUAUAUAUAUAUGUGUUUCUAUAUAUACAUGUGUGUUAUUGAGUAAUCAUGUGGGAUACAGUAGUGUACUAACAAAGAAAAAGCGAGUUUACCCACCUAAAUAUUUUCUGUAAAUGUUUAACUUAUCUCUGGUUUGAUCAGUUCAUAUAGACUGUGGUCAGUUAGUACUUAUAAACUGUGGUCAGUUAGUGUAUAUAAAAUGUGGUCAGCUAGUUCACAAACAAU
This 291-nucleotide long non-coding RNA is filed under the name Mytilus galloprovincialis (Mediterranean mussel). The record is from RNAcentral. Lineage: Eukaryota; Metazoa; Mollusca; Bivalvia; Mytilida; Mytilidae.